This 503-nucleotide long non-coding RNA is filed under the name Brachypodium distachyon (stiff brome). Its description in RNAcentral is "long non-coding RNA (BDIS_LNC006029)". The record is from RNAcentral. Lineage: Eukaryota; Viridiplantae; Streptophyta; Magnoliopsida; Poales; Poaceae.
AGGUUAGAAGUUUUAACACAUGGAUGAUGUCAGCCAGAAGGUGAAGUCGUCUCUUCCCUGCACUCUACAGGUACACAACACCUCGAAGUACAAAUUUGUAGUGCAACAGUGCAAUCUGCAACAGUAUUUUUUGCCUAACAUGUGAUCUACACACACAAAAAAGGUAAAUAAAUGUUACAAAAGUCCACACUUUGAAACAGAGCUUUCCCCAAUACGAUGUCAGGAUUAGACUAGCAAUAGCAAAACAGCAUCAGAAAUGUUGCACUUAAUCAAUAUAUACUCAAAGUCAAGAAACCUACCCCAGGUUAAAAGGCCCAGUUUAUUCAGUUUGUUAUGCAAAAUUUCCAUCUAAGUGGGAUAAGUCAAUAAAAAAGAGAAAAAGAUAAAGAAAUCCAAGUGUGGCACCAUCCUUGACUACUACUUCUACAGAAAAGUGGUCUCCUAUAUAAUUUAUAAAUUUUGGAUAACCUAAAUUUGGAAUCGAGCCUUAUAAAUCUGGAAGG